Molecule: ribosomal RNA, 484 nt
Filed under: uncultured bacterium
Lineage: Bacteria
Description: partial 16S ribosomal RNA
Rfam family: Bacterial small subunit ribosomal RNA
Source: RNAcentral
AUUGAACGCUGGCGGCAUGCUUUACACAUGCAAGUCGAACGGCAGCGCGGGCUUCGGCCUGGCGGCGAGUGGCGAACGGGUGAGUAAUACAUCGGAACGUGCCCAGUAGUGGGGGAUAGCUCGGCGAAAGCCGGAUUAAUACCGCAUACGACCUGAGGGUGAAAGCGGGGGAUCUUCGGACCUCGCGCUAUUGGAGCGGCCGAUGGCAGAUUAGCUAGUUGGUGGGGUAAAGGCCUACCAAGGCGACGCUCUGUAGCUGGUCUGAGAGGACGACCAGCCACACUGGGACUGAGACAGGGCCCAGACUCCUACGGGAGGCAGCAGUGGGGAAUUUUGGACAAUGGGCGAAAGCCUGAUCCAGCAAUGCCGCGUGUGUGAUGAAGGCCUUCGGGUUGUAAAGCACUUUUGGCGGGAACGAAAAGGACUGUGCCAAUACCACGGUUCGAUGACGGUACCCGCAGAAUAAGCACCGGCUAACUACGUG